RNAcentral lists this ribosomal RNA (466 nucleotides) under uncultured bacterium. RNAcentral's name for it is "partial 16S ribosomal RNA". It matches the Rfam family "Bacterial small subunit ribosomal RNA", at positions 28 to 507 of the family's 1533-position model. The record is from RNAcentral.
GAUGAACGCUGGCGGCGUGCUUAACACAUGCAAGUCGAACGAUGAAGCCCAGCUUGCUGGGCGGAUUAGUGGCGAACGGGUGAGUAACACGUGAGUAACCUGCCCUUGACUCUGGGAUAAGCCCGGGAAACUGGGUCUAAUACCGGAUAGGAGCGCCUGUCGCAUGACGGGUGCUGGAAAGAUCUUUCGGUCAUGGAUGGACUCGCGGCCUAUCAGCUUGUUGGUGAGGUAACGGCUCACCAAGGCGACGACGGGUAGCCGGCCUGAGAGGGUGACCGGCCACACUGGGACUGAGACACGGCGCAGACCCCUACGGGAGGCAGCAGUGGGGAAUAUUGCACAAUGGGCGAAAGCCUGAUGCAGCGACGCCGCGUGAGGGAUGACGGCCUUCGGGUUGUAAACCUCUUUCAGCAGGGAAGAAGCGAAAGUGACGGUACCUGCAGAAGAAGCACCGGCUAACUACGUG